GGGUUGUGAGGUUAAGCGACUAAGCGUACACGGUGGAUGCCCUGGCAGUCAGAGGCGAUGAAGGGCGUGCUAAUCUGCGAUAAGCGCCGGUAAGGUGAUAUGAACCGUUAUAACCGGCGAUACCCGAAUGGGGAAACCCAGUGUGACUCGUCACACUAUCAUUAACUGAAUCCAUAGGUUAAUGAGGCGAACCGGGGGAACUGAAACAUCUAAGUACCCCGAGGAAAAGAAAUCAACCGAGAUUCCCCCAGUAGCGGCGAGCGAACGGGGAGGAGCCCAGAGCCUGAAUCAGCAUGUGUGUUAGUGGAAGCGUCUGGAAAGGCGCGCGAUACAGGGUGACAGCCCCGUACACAAAAGCGCAUGUGCUGUGAGCUCGAUGAGUAGGGCGGGACACGUGGUAUCCUGUCUGAAUAUGGGGGGACCAUCCUCCAAGGCUAAAUACUCCUGACUGACCGAUAGUGAACCAGUACCGUGAGGGAAAGGCGAAAAGAACCCCGGCGAGGGGAGUGAAAAAGAACCUGAAACCGUGUACGUACAAGCAGUGGGAGCACCCUUUGGGGUGUGACUGCGUACCUUUUGUAUAAUGGGUCAGCGACUUAUAUUCUGUAGCAAGGUUAACCGAAUAGGGGAGCCGGAGGGAAACCGAGUCUUAAUUGGGCGUUAAGUUGCAGGGUAUAGACCCGAAACCCGGUGAUCUAGCCAUGGGCAGGUUGAAGGUUGGGUAACACUAACUGGAGGACCGAACCGACUAAUGUUGAAAAAUUAGCGGAUGACCUGUGGCUGGGGGUGAAAGGCCAAUCAAACCGGGAGAUAGCUGGUUCUCCCCGAAAGCUAUUUAGGUAGCGCCUCGUGAACUCAUCUCCGGGGGUAGAGCACUGUUUCGGCUAGGGGGCCAUCCCGGCUUACCAACCCGAUGCAAACUGCGAAUACCGGAGAAUGUUAUCACGGGAGACACACGGCGGGUGCUAACGUCCGUCGUGAAGAGGGAAACAACCCAGACCGCCAGCUAAGGUCCCAAAGUCAUGGUUAAGUGGGAAACGAUGUGGGAAGGCCCAGACAGCCAGGAUGUUGGCUUAGAAGCAGCCAUCAUUUAAAGAAAGCGUAAUAGCUCACUGGUCGAGUCGGCCUGCGCGGAAGAUGUAACGGGGCUAAACCAUGCACCGAAGCUGCGGCAGCGAC
Molecule: ribosomal RNA, 1179 nt
Filed under: Salmonella enterica subsp. enterica serovar Thompson
Lineage: Bacteria; Pseudomonadati; Pseudomonadota; Gammaproteobacteria; Enterobacterales; Enterobacteriaceae
Description: bacterial LSU rRNA
Rfam family: Bacterial large subunit ribosomal RNA
Source: RNAcentral